CUUCGUCCUCCGCGCCCACCUCCUCCAUGUCGUUCUCGAGGUCCUAGAGUACUUUUUUGUACUCUCGGACCUCGCACUGAGCUUCUGAGCUCUCAGACUCGAACGUUGCCGAGAACUCUCACGGUUUCGGCGAUUCCGGCUUCGGAUGUUCCGGGAGGUCCUUUAGCUCCACAACUUCUUUUAUCGUCGCCCUCGCAAGCGUCUAGAAGGAACACCGCACAGGCUACGACGGCGCAAGAUGGCCCGGCUCCUCCCCUCGAGCUGCCUC
RNAcentral lists this ribosomal RNA (268 nucleotides) under Triticum aestivum (bread wheat). RNAcentral describes it as "partial small subunit ribosomal RNA". Lineage: Eukaryota; Viridiplantae; Streptophyta; Magnoliopsida; Poales; Poaceae. The record is from RNAcentral.